This 408-nucleotide ribosomal RNA is filed under the name uncultured bacterium. Its description in RNAcentral is "partial 16S ribosomal RNA". It matches the Rfam family "Bacterial small subunit ribosomal RNA", at positions 28 to 526 of the family's 1533-position model. The record is from RNAcentral.
GACGAACGCUGGCGGCGUGCCUAAUACAUGCAAGUCGACCUUGCUGGCGAACGGGUGAGUAACACGCUAGUAACCUGCCCUUUUCUUUGGGUUAAGCCUGGGAAACUGGGUCUAUUACUGGAUGGAUUGGGAUGGGCUCGCGGCUUAUCAGCUUGUUGGUGGGGUGAUGGCUUACCAAGGCUUUGACGGGUAGCCGGCGUGAGAGGGAGGUCGGUCAAGCUGAAACUGAGAGACGGCCGAGACUGCUACGAGAGGCAGCAGUGGGGGAAAUUGCACAAUGGACGAAAGGCUGAUGCAGCGACGUCCUGUGGGGGAUGGAGGCCUGUGGGUGGUAAACUCCAUUCGCGCGCGCAGUGGUAGUGGGUAAAGAAGCGCCGGCUAACUACGUGCCAGCAGCCGCGGUAAUUC